GUGAAUCAUCGAAUCUUUGAACGCACCUUGCGCUCCUUGGUAUUCCGAGGAGCAUGCCUGUUUGAGUGUCAGUAAUUUCUCAACCCCUCUGGCUUUUUGUUGGCUAGUUUGGGCUUGGAUAUGGAGGUGUUGUGGGCCUUUGUAGGUCGACUCCUCUGAAAUGCAUUAGCGGAACCGUUUGCGAUCCGUCACGGGUGUGAUAAUUAUCUACAUCCAGUGGGUUGCUCUCUGUCUUGUUCAGCUACCAACUGUCUGAAAGGACAACCAUUACUGAAUAUUUGACCUCAAAUCAGGUAGGAUUACCCGCUGAACUUAAGCAUAUCAAUAAGCGGAGGA
This 336-nucleotide unclassified non-coding RNA is filed under the name Agaricaceae sp. RNAcentral describes it as "partial contains 5.8S ribosomal RNA, internal transcribed spacer 2, and large subunit ribosomal RNA". The stretch from base 1 to 71 matches the Rfam family "5.8S ribosomal RNA", at positions 84 to 154 of the family's 154-position model. The record is from RNAcentral. Lineage: Eukaryota; Fungi; Basidiomycota; Agaricomycetes; Agaricales; Agaricaceae.